RNAcentral lists this ribosomal RNA (322 nucleotides) under uncultured eukaryote. RNAcentral's name for it is "partial 18S ribosomal RNA". It matches the Rfam family "Eukaryotic small subunit ribosomal RNA", at positions 1470 to 1796 of the family's 1831-position model. The record is from RNAcentral.
CCCUUAGAUGUUCUGGGCCGCACGCGUGCUACACUGAGUGGAUCAGCGGGUCAGGUUGCGCGAAAGCGUUUCCUAAUCUUGAAAUCCGCUCGUGAUGGGGAUUGACGGUUGCAAUUUUCUGUCAUGAACGAGGAAUACCUUGUAAGCGCGGGUCAUCAUCCCGCGCUGAAUACGUCCCUGCCCUUUGUACACACCGCCCGUCGCUCCUACCGAUUGAGUGGUCCGGUGAGGCUUUGGGAUCUGGGCGGAAAGAGCGUUUCGCUCGUUCUGCCCGGAAAACUCAGUCGAACCUUAUCAUUUAGAGGAAGGAGAAGUCGUAACA